GCCGCAGUAGCUCAGUUGGUAAGAGCAUCGCAUGCAUAAUGUGAAGACGUGGGUUCAUGUCCCACCUGUGGCC
Dermacentor andersoni is the source of this 73-nucleotide non-coding RNA. The record is from the annotation of a RefSeq genome assembly. Lineage: Eukaryota; Metazoa; Arthropoda; Arachnida; Ixodida; Ixodidae.